AACGAACGCUGGCGGCAGGCCUAACACAUGCAAGUCGAGCGCACCUUCGGGUGAGCGGCGGACGGGUGAGUAACGCGUGGGAACGUACCCUUCUCUGCGGAAUAGCCUCGGGAAACUGAGAGUAAUACCGCAUACGCCCUUCGGGGGAAAGAUUUAUCGGGGAAGGAUCGGCCCGCGUUAGAUUAGGUAGUUGGUGGGGUAAUGGCCUACCAAGCCUACGAUCUAUAGCUGGUUUGAGAGGAUGAUCAGCCACACUGGGACUGAGACACGGCCCAG
Molecule: ribosomal RNA, 276 nt
Filed under: uncultured bacterium
Lineage: Bacteria
Description: partial 16S ribosomal RNA
Rfam family: Bacterial small subunit ribosomal RNA
Source: RNAcentral